Molecule: long non-coding RNA, 1756 nt
Filed under: Setaria viridis
Lineage: Eukaryota; Viridiplantae; Streptophyta; Magnoliopsida; Poales; Poaceae
Description: long non-coding RNA (SVIR_LNC005221)
Source: RNAcentral
CUGUGACUGUCAUGGUUGGCACUCUGCUAGCUUGAGGGCACAGACUUUUAUCUGUCUGAAUAAUACGAUGCUGCAUGAAAAUAAGCUUGGAGACUUUGUAACCGGAAUGCAGUGAUAGGUGAUAAUAACUUGAGUAAAAAGGGGGGGGGGGGGGGGGGGGGGGAGUCGAUCGCGUUGAGUGUAUGCAUCUAAUCAGGCCGGAGUGUUGGCCUAGGAACGAGUAGCCCAUUCAGAAAUUACACAUCCAUUCUAGGCGGGCUGAAUUGGAUCGUGUUUAUUUCCGUGACCAAAAAUUGUAGCGGGCUAAAAUCAGGCAAGCCAAUAGCAAACCAAUGGGCCGGCAACUGACAUGGGCUGUCCGUGAACUAACUUGCUUCAUUUUUUUUUAGGGCGAUAACAAACUUGCUUGACUGGGUACAAAUUUAGGCGGGCCAGUAUCACUGUAGCCAGGUAAUAAAAAAGAAAAAGAGAAUCCUAAAAAAACAUAAUAGAUGGCGCACAUGGACCACGUGACUAGCGUACAAGCAACCCCGUCGGUGUAUCACCAAUCGUAUCAUCAAAAGAUACGAUGUGUUUAUGCCAUGCUACGUAUAUUCCCAUCACCGACAACAUUCAUAUACUCGAAUACGAUUGUAAGUACAUACGCACAUCGAUGAUCGAUCUGCAGCAGCCGCAACGCGUACCUUGUCUGUUUCAGAAACAACGUGCAACGCGAGGUCGGGAGCGACAGAUCUGCACACUUUGCUAUACAACUAUACAAUCGUCGGAAAAAUAAUUGGAGGUAGUGCGAUAGGUAGAUCUACAUUGAGUUUUCGCCCGUGACGCCACCCUUAGCGAGUCGAUAGCUAAGUGCUCGUCCCAUCCCAACCCAAAUUGUAUAUUUCUAAAUUUAUAUCUUAUAUUAUAUAUUCAGAUAUAAAUGUAUAUCCUAUGAAUAGUAAAUAACCUAUAAAUACUAAAACGACCUACAAUUUGGGAUAAAGGGAGUAGCUAGUAUUUCCAAAAUUAGUACUCCCUUCAUCUCAAAAUACAUGUCAAACACUUUUAGAUUUGACCAACACUAUCUCUAGAAAUAAUUUAUUUUAAAUAGAAAAAUUUACAAAUUAUAAUAAUUGGUUUGACGAUAAAUCUACUAACAUCAUUUUUAUAUUAUUAGUAUCUAUGAUUAUUUUAUUUGAGACGAAUGGAGUACUCUCUUUUUUGAGGUGUCUUAGGUUUUCUCUAAAUCAAACUUUACAAUUUUUUACCAACAAUAAUUAGUCAAGUUGUAUGACUUCUCAGUGGAUAAAAUUAACAUGUGUAGACUCGUAUUUGAAUAUGUUUUAAAUGCGAGAAAUCGAUUGUCAAAAUAUAUUUUCUAAGACUUUUUCAAAUCCUAAUAUGCAUACUUGAGAGAAAACAGAAACGUUUUGAGUUUUUGACAACGCACCCAUCUCAUUUAGCCUAAAGACUAGCUAAUAGCUAUGCAUGCAGGUGUACGUGGUUGAGUGGAGUUGAACCUAACAAAUGUACCUUUAGUAAGUAGGCAAGUAGCGGCUUCGGAGAACUUUGAGCAUCAACCCAGGGAUAAUCAACAAGAGCCUGAUCCGCAACGAAGGCGUAGCAACUUAUCUCGAAGUGCAUUACAGCUUCGCCAACUACAAGAUGCCAAGAUCAUAGCGUCAUUGCUGUCCAUUUUGAUGCGACGAUGCGAUGUAUCCCGAACUAUAUUGCUGAUGAUCGAUGAGCGCAGUAUACUUAUAUGACGACAAUGAGU